UACAGAGGGUGAAAGCGUUAAUCGGAAUUACUGGGCGUAAAGCGUGCGUAGACGGUUACAUAAGUCGGGUGUGAAAGCCCCGGGCUCAACCUGGGAAUUGCAUUCGAGACUGCGUAGCUAGGGUGCGGAAGAGGGAAGCGGAAUUUCCGGUGUAGCGGUGAAAUGCGUAGAUAUCGGAAGGAACAUCAGUGGCGAAGGCGACUUUCUGGACAGAUACUGACACUGAGGCACGAAAGCAUGGGGAGCAAACAGG
Molecule: ribosomal RNA, 253 nt
Filed under: uncultured prokaryote
Description: partial 16S ribosomal RNA
Rfam family: Bacterial small subunit ribosomal RNA
Source: RNAcentral